CGGCGGGCGGGGCUCGGCUCGGGCUCCGCGGGCGGGCGGGCGGACAUGGCGGCCAACAUGUACCGGGUCGGAGAUUAUGUCUACUUUGAGAAUUCCUCAAGCAAUCCGUACCUCAUCAGAAGGAUAGAAGAACUCAACAAGACUGCAACUGGCAACGUGGAAGCAAAAGUAGUGUGCUUUUAUAGACGACGAGAUAUUUCCAACACGCUUAUAAUGCUUGCAGACAAGCAUGCUAAAGAAAUUGAGGAAGAAUCUGAAACAACAGUCGAGGCUGACUUGACCGAUAAACAGAAACAUCAGUUGAAACAUAGGGAACUCUUUUUGUCGCGCCAAUACGAAUCUCUGCCCGCAACACAUAUCAGGGGGAAAUGCAGUGUUGCCCUUCUGAAUGAGACAGAGUCAGUAUUGUCAUAUCUUGAUAAAGAGGAUACCUUUUUCUACUCAUUGGUCUAUGAUCCCUCAGUGAAAACACUAUUAGCUGACAAAGGUGAAAUCAGAGUGGGACCUAGAUAUCAAGCAGACAUUCCAGAAAUGCUCUUAGAAGGAGAAUCAGAUGAGAGAGAACAGUCAAAAUUGGAAGUGAAGGUUUGGGACCCAAAUAGCCCACUUACAGACCGACAGAUUGACCAAUUUUUAGUUGUAGCCCGUGCUGUUGGGACGUUUGCUCGAGCCCUUGAUUGUAGCAGUUCUGUAAGGCAGCCUAGUUUGCAUAUGAGUGCAGCUGCAGCUUCUCGAGACAUCACCCUGUUUCAUGCUAUGGAUACAUUGUAUAGGCACGGCUAUGAUUUGAGCAGUGCAAUUAGUGUCUUAGUACCACUUGGGGGACCUGUUUUAUGCAGAGAUGAAAUGGAAGAAUGGUCCGCCUCUGAAGCUAGUUUAUUUGAAGAGGCAUUGGAAAAAUAUGGCAAAGACUUCAAUGACAUACGUCAAGACUUUCUCCCUUGGAAAUCAUUGACUAGCAUCAUUGAAUAUUAUUACAUGUGGAAAACUACUGACAGAUAUGUGCAGCAGAAACGUCUAAAGGCAGCAGAAGCAGAGAGUAAACUGAAACAAGUGUAUAUCCCAACUUACAGCAAACCAAAUCCCAACCAAAUAUCCACCAGCAAUGGCAAACCUGGUGCUGUGAAUGGAGCCGUGGGAACCACAUUCCAGCCGCAAAACCCUCUCCUGGGGCGAGCCUGCGAGAGCUGCUACGCUACACAGUCUCAUCAGUGGUAUUCUUGGGGCCCACCUAAUAUGCAGUGUAGGUUAUGUGCAACCUGUUGGCUCUAUUGGAAAAAAUACGGAGGCCUGAAGAUGCCCACCCAGUCGGAAGAGGAGAAGUUACCUCCUAGCCCAGCUACCGAGGACCCGCGAGCUAGAAGCCAUAUGUCUCGCCAGGCCAUGCAGGGGAUGCCAGUCCGAAACUCUGGGAGCCCGAAGUCUGCAGUGAAGACCCGUCAAGCUUUCUUCCUUCACACUACAUAUUUCACAAAAUUUGCUCGGCAGGUCUGCAAAAAUACCCUCCGGCUGCGGCAGGCAGCAAGACGGCCGUUUGUUCCUAUUAAUUAUGCUGCCAUUAGGGCAGAAUAUGCAGACAGACAUGCGGAUCUAUCUGGAAGUCCCCUGAAAAGCAAAAGCACGAGGAAGCCUUUGGCAUGUAUCAUUGGGUAUUUAGAGAUCCAUCCUUCGAAGAAACCUAAUGUAAUUCGAUCUACACCAAGCCUGCAAACCCCAACCACCAAGCGGAUGCUAGCCACCCCGAAUCACACGUCUCUGAGCAUUUUGGGGAAAAGAAACUACAGUCAUCACAAUGGCCUGGAUGAAAGGCUCAUGAAGUGAAGGCGCAGCUCUGCUCUAUCCUGCAGACCUUCCUCAGGAUGGCGGGAGGCUGUGAAGAACUCACAUGCUGCGUGUCAGACUGAGCUAUUGCUGUUUAACCCUAUAAUCCAAGACUUGCUACACUGUCCUGCUGAUGUCCAUAGCCAUGCCCAGGAAGGAGGCGGCCCCAUUCCCAGCGUAUCCCGGGGGAGACCUCCGCGUGCACCCCACGGAGCCUUGACCAGGCCGGGGAAGAGACUGUAGGAGCACACGUCCCCACAGCUGCGUCUCCUCUUGUGAAUCAGUGUCCCCUUGCUUUCCUCUAGAGGCCUCGCUGCCCCAGAGCGGGACCUGCCUGGGGAAUUGAGGGGCUGGGGGAGCUACUCCGAGACCUCCUUCUCCGGCACUCUGAACCCCGGGCACCGCGGCUCCGGGGCAGUGGGGCUGCUGCAGGCUCAGAGCCGCUGCCGCCCUGCAUGUGCCAGCUUCGCUCUGUUGUCGGCUGUGUCAGUGUGGACUCGAGGGAUAAUACGGCAUGUUUCUAAAUGGAUUUUUCUUAAGAAAUGUGCCAUUGUUGAUGUAGUUCAGGAUGUUCCCCCCAUCCCAGCUGUCACUGUCCCUCGGCUUUUUCUCAGUAGGCUUCAUUCCCCAUUUUUUUUAGUGGGGAAAUUUUGUCCUUCACCCCCUGCAUCCUGUAUUUGCCCCCUACCUUCAUCCCUCCCAGGUACAGAAUUACCUGUGGUUCUGACAAAAGAUAAGCAAAUCGUCUUUGGGAAGCCUGUGGACUCUCUAUCUCAUCCGUUCUUUGUUGUUGGAAAGAGGCUGGCAUUCUCUUGGUUCUGCUUAGUCCCAGGCAGUCCAGCGAGAGCAGGUAUUAACGUGAGCUGAGCGUGUGUAUCACGGUGACCAGCCGUCAUGUCCUGCCCUGUUCCUUCACAGCCAAACCAGCCGCUGCAGCCAGGUUGGUCCUUCUAGGACUCUCAUUCAUCCAGGUUAAUUUUAAGCAGGUGGAGUCUGUGUGGCCUGUAAGGUGAAGUAAGAGAGCUGUGUCUGCAGGUGAGUCUGUGUGGAAGCCCCGCCUCCACCACCCUGGCAACCCGGCCAUUUCUGUGAGCACCUGUGCCUAGACCCCCGGAGACCUGUCUGUGACCCUGUUUCUGCUGUCUGCCCUGGUACAGGCCCUGCCGGCAUCACAGGGGGGCCGUUCUGCCCUCUGUGUACACAGCUGCGGGGACAGGAAAAACUUAAUGCCCCAUUUGCUCCCCGAGCAGAUGUGAGUCUGCUGCUUCCCUGCCUUUGUUUGCAGGGACAGGCUGCAGGGCACAGGGUCACAGCAGCAUGAAAGACAAUGGGAGUGUGGCCUCCCUGCGGCCCCUGGAGCGUGCGGCCAGAGACAAAAUGGGUGGCUGACAGCAGGUGCCUCGAAAGGCCAGCUGCCUGCAGGACAAAGUAUCUCCAAAUGAGCUGAAUGCCUCCCCCUCCGCCACCCAGGCAGAGUGAGGUUUCCCUAAAAUGACCAUGACGCUCCAGAUGUCUGGUCAUCGCAGGCUGGGCUCAGCUCAGCAGAGGACGUGAUGCAUGAUGACUGAGGGUGAUGCUCGAAGCACGCGCUGCCUUUUCCUUUUCCAGUCUCGCAGGCUUCUCUCCCCAGGAGGGGUUGGCUCUCAUCUUAGUUUUUGAGGGAUGACCCCGGGGACAUUCUCACCACUGCCAACUCUUGGAGCUGUUCCAGGUUUUGGCUUGGGGCCCCAUGGGUGGGCCUGUGUCGGAUGCUCAGUGAGCCGGGUGGGGUGGCAGACAUUGCCCUCAGGGUCCCACAGAGAAGCUCCUUCUGUAAAGCCCCAGGGGGAGAGAAGGCAGCCGGUUCUUGCAUCACCAGCCACGUGCCACGUCCUCUAAAGAAAGAGACGCAACCAAGCUGUGUCCCCAUGCCCUGCCCUGCAUUUGCUGCGAUAGAUACAGAACAUGGAAUGGUUCCUUCACAUUGUCCCUGUCCUCUCCUGACCCACAUGGGACCAUGACUCGUGGUUAAAGGAGCCAUUAGCCGCCGUGACUUUGCUGCCAGCUUGUUGGGGAGAGACCCUCCUUCCCCAGGCCAGGAGCUUUGGAGGCCGGGGCCAGGCCGGGGCUGCAGGAAGAACAGGGAGGCCCAGGCCAGCUCCAAUUCAUGCUUAAAUGUGGGACAAGUACACCCCAACAGCUCUCCCAUCACUGUGUGGUGAAAACUCCGGGUUCCGCAGCCCUGCCCUCCUACGGGAGGGUUCCUGGCUAAGAUCUCAGGCUCCCACUUCAUCUCGGGAAAGCCCCCCAGCACUGAACCUUUGGGGACUGGAGGAUGGACGCCAAGGAGCCUCUAGUAUCUGUCACUGCCGAGGGAGCAGUUGGUGCCGAGAGGCUUUCCUGGCCAGCCCCUUUGUUGGGGCCACAGUGUCACUGCUGUGGGUGUCAGUGGCACGUCAGCACUGUGAGCAGCGAGCGUGUGGGUGACACGCAACACCCAGCUGCAGGUUUCCCAGCAGACGUGCCCAGGGCUGCCGUGCACCCUCGGAGAAGGACACUGAGGCCCGAGAGUCGGCCUCCCUUCCCCCGUCACCCCCACCCACCCCGCAGUGGAGCAGGAGAGGACACAACUGCUUCCUAGCUUGCCUUUCGUGAUUCUACCUUGUCCACAGCCUGGGUUCUAUCAGUCAGCAUCCAACCAAGAAAACCAGAGAAGUCUAUUUAAAACAGAGGGGUUUUAAUCCAGGAAAUUGUUUAAAUGAGAAAGAAGAAGGCCUGAGACACUACUGAGGGGUAACCAGAAACGGGGACCCACAGAGCUGGUGGGACCAGAUCCUCAGGGUCAGGCCACUAGGUGGGGCCUGGGUCUGCAGAGGGCCUACGUGGUGGGAGCUGAAGCCAUGAAGAGACCUGGGCCCUGCCAGAAACAUACCCCCCAUGCCCCGCCCCAGGCAAAGAGGGAGCAGAAUUAGCCUGGCUUCUCCCUUCCCUAUGCCCUCCAGAUUUCUGCGUUAGCUAAAUGCAGCUGGAAGCCAGCUGACCUGGGAGCUUGGGACAGGCCACCUGCAGUCAGUUCCCCAGCUCUUAGAGCAGAGCAGCGGAAGGCAAGUGGUGGGUCAGAGGGCAAGCAGUCCCAGGACAUGUGUGGCCUUGGUCCGCUCUCUGUCACGUCCAAGCCCACUGUGGAUUCCCCAUGCUGUCCCAAGACCCCGGUGAGUGGAGGUGGAGGUAGCUGCCCUGGUGGGUUUCUGUAGGUUCUCUUUGACUCUGCUUGGGAGGAAAGUGCUUUGGGGAGGUGGGGGAGGGGUUUUAUUCAUAACAGUUAUCCCAGUUCUCCUUUGGGAGAAUUUACUCAUUUAGCAGACCCACCUCGCCUGUCCCCUCAGGGAGGCUGUGUCCCAGUGUUCUGUCCAUCCCAGCCCAUUCCUCUUCCCCCAGUCUCUGGUUUCUCUACUGGAGAACACCCACCCAGACCACGCAUCAAUGGUCAUGAGUGUUUCCCCAGGAUAAUUCAUUCAGCGUGUGCUAUUACAGAGUGGUCUGUCUGUAAGUAGAUGUCAUCCACUGAUCAAU
Molecule: RNA transcript, 5373 nt
Organism: Dama dama (fallow deer)
Lineage: Eukaryota; Metazoa; Chordata; Mammalia; Artiodactyla; Cervidae
Gene: MTA3
Gene name: metastasis associated 1 family member 3
Exons: 18
Source: RefSeq, a predicted model, not a curated record